RNAcentral lists this long non-coding RNA (385 nucleotides) under Lathyrus oleraceus (garden pea). RNAcentral describes it as "Pisum sativum (pea) long non-coding RNA (PSAT_LNC008849)". The record is from RNAcentral. Lineage: Eukaryota; Viridiplantae; Streptophyta; Magnoliopsida; Fabales; Fabaceae.
AAGCGCUUUGAGAUAGACACCGCCUAUUAUCGCAACAUCAGCCAAGCGUUAGAGUCAUCUACGAAGGAGCACGACAUUACCAAGGAGAAGUUGGCUAGAGCGUUGAACGUCAUUGAAGAUGAGAAGAGGAGACAAGUCCUUGUGAAGAAUCAGAGAGAAGUUAAAGCCAAAGUCCUUACCGCCGAGUGGGAAGCAAAGCUGAAAGUUAAGGAGGAAGAGCACGCGAAGAUUAUUGCUGAGAGAGAUCAUUAUCUUGCUGAGAGAGACCAUUAUUUCUGACAGAUGAAGAUUCAUCAGAAGGAGGUGGGAAGACUUCAGCAGGAGAACACUGAGCUCAGGUUUGCCGUGAAGUUUACCAAGAUGGUUGAUGAUGCAGAGCCUUCUG